AUUAGCUCAGGCGGUAGAGCACCUGACUUUUAAUCAGGGUGUCGCAGGUUCGAGUCCUGCAUG
RNAcentral lists this transfer RNA (63 nucleotides) under Numidum massiliense. It matches the Rfam family "tRNA", at positions 6 to 65 of the family's 71-position model. From Rfam's summary of the family: Transfer RNA (tRNA) molecules are approximately 80 nucleotides in length. Lineage: Bacteria; Bacillati; Bacillota; Bacilli; Caryophanales; Bacillaceae. The record is from RNAcentral.